UGCAACGCUAUUAAAUAUACCUGAAAACCAAAUGUUAAUAGAGCCACCAAAAAUACAAAGUGGUGUUGCAGCCCUGUAUUGGUUUCGUACAGGUAUAUCAAAUGCCAGUACAG
RNAcentral lists this microRNA precursor (113 nucleotides) under Human papillomavirus type 6b. Its description in RNAcentral is "HPV6-miR-H1". The record is from RNAcentral. Lineage: Floreoviria; Shotokuvirae; Cossaviricota; Papovaviricetes; Zurhausenvirales; Papillomaviridae.